CAGGAGUUCGAGAUCAGCCUGACCAACAUGGUGAAAUUCCAUCUCUACUAAAAAUACAAAAAAUUAGCUAGUCAUGGGUGCGUGCGCCUGUAAUCUCAGGUACUUGGGAGGCUGAGGCGGGAGAGUUGCUUGAACCUGGGAGGUGGAGGUUGCAGUGAGCUGAGAUCAUGCCACUGCACUCCAGCCUGGGCAACAGUGAGACUGCCUCAAAAAUAAAUAAAUAAAAUUUAUUGUUUGUCUGUCUCUCCCUCUAGAAAAGAAGCUCCACGAGGGACAGGAAUAUCUGCGAGUAUAGCUCCCUGAUGUUUUCCAAGUGCCUGGAACAGUUUUGGCCCAUAGUAGGCUCUCCAUAUAUAUUUGCUGAAUGAAUGAAUGAACCUGCUCAUUUCUCAAUGUACUGCUUGUGUCUGCCAUCAACGUUACUGGAAUCUCAAUCCCAGUUUUGCCACCAAUCAGCUGUGCAAACUAUGGGCAAGUUUUCUAACUUUUUGGAGCCUCUGCUUCUUCAUCAGUAAAAUGGAAUAAGAGAAGUACCCAUCUCACAGGGUUUUAGGAGGAUGAGAUGUGACAACCAGUGCACAGAGAGAUUAAGUAACUUGCUGUCCAGCUGGUGUGUGGUGGAGCCCAGGGUGAACCCCAGGUGGCCUCUAAAGCAUUGUCUUCCAACGUGCAAUGGAGUGUGAAAUGUGGAAGCCGUGGGAAAGCACAGGAAAUCAGCCGUGGAAGAAGCAAUGGUUGGAUUUAUCCCGUGGCGACACCCACCACAGCUGCAUUCCGGGAGGAAGUUGCAGAUAGGAGAGCUUGAAACAGAUUUGUUUUCCCUUCCACUAUGCGAGUCAGCUGAGUUGGAUUCAAAAGGUUGUUCCGCAGAUAUUAAAAGUGAGAAUUGGGAUGCCUGGAACAGCGUGGGAAACACUCGUGGGUCACAUGCUCGGAUCUGCACUCUCACUUCUGGGAAUCAGUUCUACGGAAACAUUUGCACAGAUGUAUGUGUAUGGAUGUAUGGUGGCAUGGUGGCACUGUGUGUGAUAAAUAUUGGAAAUCUUCUAAUCGCCUGGCAAUGGAGGGGUACGUGA
RNAcentral lists this long non-coding RNA (1076 nucleotides) under Callithrix jacchus (white-tufted-ear marmoset). RNAcentral describes it as "lncRNA (ENSCJAG00000083165.1)". The record is from RNAcentral. Lineage: Eukaryota; Metazoa; Chordata; Mammalia; Primates; Cebidae.